GAUGAACGCUGGCGGCGUGCCUAAUACAUGCAAGUCGAGCGAACGGACGAUAAGCUUGCUUCUCUGAUGUUAGCGGCGGACGGGUGAGUAACACGUGGAUAACCUACCUAUAAGACUGGGAUAACUUCGGGAAACCGGAGCUAAUACCGGAUGAUAUUUUGAACCGCAUGGUUCAAAAGUGAAAGACGGUCUUGCUGUCACUUAUAGAUGGAUCCGCGCUGCAUUAGCUAGUUGGUAAGGUAACGGCUUACCAAGGCAACGAUGCAUAGCCGACCUGAGAGGGUGAUCGGCCACACUGGAACUGAGACACGGUCCAGACUCCUACGGGAGGCAGCAGUAGGGAAUCUUCCGCAAUGGGCGAAAGCCUGACGGAGCAACGCCGCGUGAGUGAUGAAGGUCUUCGGAUCGUAAAACUCUGUUAUUAGGGAAGAACAUAUGUGUAAGUAACUGUGCACAUCUUGACGGUACCUAAUCAGAAAGCCACGGCUAACUACGUG
Molecule: ribosomal RNA, 497 nt
Filed under: uncultured bacterium
Lineage: Bacteria
Description: partial 16S ribosomal RNA
Rfam family: Bacterial small subunit ribosomal RNA
Source: RNAcentral